RNAcentral lists this ribosomal RNA (551 nucleotides) under uncultured bacterium. RNAcentral describes it as "bacterial SSU rRNA". It matches the Rfam family "Bacterial small subunit ribosomal RNA", at positions 355 to 896 of the family's 1533-position model. The record is from RNAcentral.
UAGGGAAUCUUCGGCAAUGGACGAAAGUCUGACCGAGCAACGCCGCGUGAGUGAAGAAGGUUUUCGGAUCGUAAAGCUCUGUUGUAAGAGAAGAACGGGUGUGAGAGUGGAAAGUUCACACUGUGACGGUAUCUUACCAGAAAGGGACGGCUAACUACGUGCCAGCAGCCGCGGUAAUACGUAGGUCCCGAGCGUUGUCCGGAUUUAUUGGGCGUAAAGCGAGCGCAGGCGGUUAGAUAAGUCUGAAGUUAAAGGCUGUGGCUUAACCAUAGUACGCUUUGGAAACUGUUUAACUUGAGUGCAGAAGGGGAGAGUGGAAUUCCAUGUGUAGCGGUGAAAUGCGUAGAUAUAUGGAGGAACACCGGUGGCGAAAGCGGCUCUCUGGUCUGUAACUGACGCUGAGGCUCGAAAGCGUGGGGAGCGAACAGGAUUAGAUACCCUGGUAGUCCACGCCGUAAACGAUGAGUGCUAGGUGUUAGGCCCUUUCCGGGGCUUAGUGCCGCCNGCUAACGCAUUAAGCACUCCGCCUGGGGAGUACGACCGCAAGGUUG